Molecule: ribosomal RNA, 469 nt
Filed under: uncultured bacterium
Lineage: Bacteria
Description: bacterial SSU rRNA
Rfam family: Bacterial small subunit ribosomal RNA
Source: RNAcentral
GACCAGACUCCUACGGGAGGCAGCAGUGAGGAAUAUUGGUCAAUGGGCGCGAGCCUGAACCAGCCAAGUCGCGUGAGGGAUGACGGCCCUACGGGUUGUAAACCUCUUUUGUCGGGGAGCAAAUUCCGCCACGUGUGGCGGAGUCGAGAGUACCCGAAGAAAAAGCAUCGGCUAACUCCGUGCCAGCAGCCGCGGUAAUACGGAGGAUGCGAGCGUUAUCCGGAUUUAUUGGGUUUAAAGGGUGCGUAGGCGGACUGUCAAGUCAGCGGUAAAAUACGGGGGCUCAACCCCGCCCAGCCGUCGGAACUGCCGGGCUAGAGUGGGCGAGAAGUGCGCGGAAUGCGUGGUGUAGCGGUGAAAUGCAUAGAUAUCACGCAGAACUCCGAUUGCGAAGGCAGCGCACCGGCGCCCUACUGACGCUCAGGCACGAAAGCGUGGGUAUCGAACAGGAUUAGAUACCCCGGUAAUC